CAGUCGCCACGGUAAAACGAAGGGGGCUAGCGUUGUUCGGAAUUACUGGGCGUAAAGCGCACGUAGGCGGAUAUUUAAGUCAGGGGUGAAAUCCCAGAGCUCAACUCUGGAACUGCCUUUGAUACUGGGUAUCUUGAGUAUGGAAGAGGUGAGUGGAAUUCCGAGUGUAGAGGUGAAAUUCGUAGAUAUUCGGAGGAACACCAGUGGCGAAGGCGGCUCACUGGUCCAUUACUGACGCUGAGGUGCGAAAGCGUGGGGAGCAAACAGGAUUAGAUACCCCCGUAGUCCCUGUCUCUUAUAC
RNAcentral lists this ribosomal RNA (301 nucleotides) under uncultured bacterium. RNAcentral describes it as "partial 16S ribosomal RNA". It matches the Rfam family "Bacterial small subunit ribosomal RNA", at positions 509 to 807 of the family's 1533-position model. The record is from RNAcentral.